GUUUAACUGCGGUGCGGUUUUAACAGUUAUAAAAACGUAUAGAUAUAUGGUAUAUAUAGAGAUUUUUGUUACUGUUAAUUGCGGUGCGGAGCGGAGCGGGGCGGUUCGUAACAUUCGAAGCCUUAGUUUUUUCAUGUUUAUCCUUUCUUUUGGGUCUAUCUUGUAAUUUAUGUUUUUGUUUAAUAUUACUAGUUGACAAAAAGAUCGAUGAUCUGACAAAACAAAUUUAAAGGUAUUUUAAUUCGUCUGAUGUCGUUUAAAGGGAAGUGUUUUUUAUUGGAUAAGUUUUAACACCCUUGAAACUCAACUAUAUGUUUAUUGAUCAUUUGGAUUUGUAUUGUGAAUGUCGUAUAUUGUUAAAUUUUUGACAAAAGCAAAUUUCGAAUAACUCUUUGGAAGUAUAUGGAGACAUAGAAUAUACAUAUAUUUUCUUUGAAAACAAACAUAAUUAAAGUGGAAAAGUUUUCUUUUACUUUUAGAGAAAUUCUCUAAGAUAGUCUUUUUAAAACAUUUAUCACAAAAAUAACUCUCAAAAAGAAAAAUGACCAAAAUAUUAUUAAAGGGUAGAACUAAAUUAAACAUAUAUCUGAAAAAUGUAUAGUUAAGUGGAAAAAAUGUAUAGUUAAAUAAAUAAUAAGCAAAUAAACAAUAUAAAAAUAAAAAUUUACACUAAACAUCUAUCGUAAUAUUACUACUUGAUAUAAAAACAAAAAAAUAGAAUAAAGAAAUAUACAAUAUAGAAAAAUUUCCUAAGAUAAUCAUUUUUAAGUUUUUGUCACAAAAAUAACCCUCGAUGAGAAAAAUGACCAAAAGAAGUUUUAUGAAAAGGGAAAAAUACAUUUAUAUCCUAAGGUUUAGAGUAAGAAGUGGGUUUUUGAGGAUAGGAUUUCAAAUUUUAAAAAAUAAAAAUAAAUAUUAAAAUUUUCAAAAUAAAAAGGGCUAUUUUGGUCAUUUUCCUCAUUGAGGACUAUUUUUGUGUCAAAAACUUAAAAAUGACUAUUUGAAUGAUAGUAUAAAAAGAAAUAUUUUAAAUGAUAGUAUAAAAGGAAAUAAUGUACAUAAAAAUUACCAUUUCUUUUAAUUCAAAAUAUUUUAAAUGAUAGUAUAAAAAGAAAUAAUGUACAUAAUAAGAAUAAAAAUAUUAUAUUACCAUUUGACAUAAAAACAAAAAAAAAAAGAAUAAAUAAAUUUAAAAUAUAGAAAAAUUCUCUAGGAUAGUCAUUUUUAAGUUUUUGUCACAAAAAUAACUCUCGAUAAGAAAAAUGACCAAAAGAAGUUUUAUUAAAGGGUAAAAAUAUAUUUAUACCCUAGGGUUAACUAAUCUAGACUUAGUGUUUAGAGUAAGGAGUGGGUUUUUGA
This 1359-nucleotide long non-coding RNA is filed under the name Brassica napus (rape). RNAcentral describes it as "long non-coding RNA (BNAP_LNC026436)". Lineage: Eukaryota; Viridiplantae; Streptophyta; Magnoliopsida; Brassicales; Brassicaceae. The record is from RNAcentral.